Molecule: non-coding RNA, 475 nt
Organism: Triticum urartu
Lineage: Eukaryota; Viridiplantae; Streptophyta; Magnoliopsida; Poales; Poaceae
Source: RefSeq, a predicted model, not a curated record
CUUGCCAAGAAGUUGUUCAUCAAGCUUGAAGAGUUUUGCCAGAACUUUGAAGAGGAGACUGGGCGGAUCGAACCAGAUAUGCAAGGGUCGCAACUCUAAAAAAGACUUCUGUUGUUGGAGAAGGAAUUAAUCCAUCACAGUGCUCCCUAAGAGGGCACAACCUGCUGCUAUGGUUCCUGAAACGACAUCAUUCUCUGCAAUCCAGUACAUGGGGACCUGCUCAGGAUGUGCCAGGUAAGAUCAUUUCAAAGCAGAGGGUGGCAAAUUUGAUGCAGUGAUUGCUGUCAAAUGGGCCGAGGUAAUUCUUUCCUGCAGAUAUGCUAUGGAUAAACAUGUAACAGUCCAUUGUUUUACUGAUUGUGUUGUCCUCGAUGAUUCACAUCUCAGAAUUUGUAAUGUAGCUGACAUGAUAGUAUCAUAUUAUUUUACUAUGAAGAACCCUUGAAUAGUUAUAAAGAAAUACUCGGUUCAACUA